RNAcentral lists this ribosomal RNA (673 nucleotides) under uncultured bacterium. RNAcentral describes it as "bacterial SSU rRNA". It matches the Rfam family "Bacterial small subunit ribosomal RNA", at positions 28 to 687 of the family's 1533-position model. The record is from RNAcentral.
GACGAACGCUGGCGGCGUGCUUAACACAUGCAAGUGGAGCGACGAACCAGGGCUUGCCCUGGGGCAGAGCCGCGAACGGGUGAGUAACACGUGGGUAACCUACCUCGAUGACCGGGACAACCCGAGGAAACUCGGGCUAAUACCGGAUGUGCUCAAUCCUCUCAAGUGGAUUGAGUAAAGAUAGCUUUCGCCUUCGCAUCGAGACGGGCCCGCGGCCCAUUAGCUUGUUGGUGAGGUAACGGCUCACCAAGGCUGCGAUGGGUAGCUGGUCUGAGAGGACGAUCAGCCACACUGGGACUGAGACACGGCCCAGACUCCUACGGGAGGCAGCAGUGGGGAAUCUUGCGCAAUGCGCGAAAGCGUGACGCAGCAACGCCGCGUGGGGGAAGAAGGCCUUCGGGUUGUAAACCCCUUUCAGUUGGGACAAAGCUUCGAGGGUUAAUAGCCCUCUGGAGUGACGGUACCUUCAGAAGAAGCCCCGGCUAACUACGUGCCAGCAGCCGCGGUAAUACGUAGGGGGCUAGCGUUGUCCGGAAUCAUUGGGCGUAAAGCGCGUGUAGGCGGUCCGGUAAGUCCGCUGUGAAAGUCGGGGGCUCAACCCUCGGAUGCCGGUGGAUACUGUCGGGCUUGAGUACGGAAGAGGCGAGUGGAAUUCCUGGUGUAGCGGUGAAAU